GUGCCAGCCGCCGCGGUAAGACGAACCGUGCGAACGUUGUUCGGAAUCACUGGGCUUAAAGGGCGCGUAGGCGGGCGAUCAAGUCAGUGGUGAAAUCCUCCAGCUUAACUGGAGAACUGCCUUUGAUACUGGUCGCCUCGAGGGAGGUAGGGGCAUGCGGAACUGAUGGUGGAGCGGUGAAAUGUGUUGAUAUCAUCAGGAACUCCGGUGGCGAAAGCGGCGUGCUGGACCUUUUCUGACGCUGAGGCGCGAAAGCUAGGGUAGCGAACGGGAUUAGAAACCCCUGUAGUCC
Molecule: ribosomal RNA, 292 nt
Filed under: uncultured bacterium
Lineage: Bacteria
Description: partial 16S ribosomal RNA
Rfam family: Bacterial small subunit ribosomal RNA
Source: RNAcentral